GAGGAAAAGAAACCAACAGGGAUUACCUCAGUAACGGCGAGUGAAGCGGUAACAGCUCAAAUUUGAAAUCUGGCGCAAGCCCGAGUUGUAAUUUGUAGAGGAUGUUUCGGGCACCGCCGCGGUGUAAAUUUCUUGGAACAGAAUGUCAGAGAGGGUGAGAAUCCCGUCUUCGACCGCGGUAGGACCCAUGUGAAACUCCUUCGACGAGUCGAGUUGUUU
This 219-nucleotide ribosomal RNA is filed under the name Ctenophora environmental sample. Its description in RNAcentral is "partial Eukaryotic large subunit ribosomal RNA". It matches the Rfam family "Eukaryotic large subunit ribosomal RNA", at positions 53 to 275 of the family's 3401-position model. Lineage: Eukaryota; Metazoa; Ctenophora. The record is from RNAcentral.